UACCACUUAGCAGGUUCC
Molecule: transfer RNA, 18 nt
Filed under: Goodyera brachystegia
Lineage: Eukaryota; Viridiplantae; Streptophyta; Magnoliopsida; Asparagales; Orchidaceae
Description: partial tRNA-Phe
Source: RNAcentral